AUCCUGGCUCAGGAUGAACGCUAGCGGCAGGCUUAAUACAUGCAAGUCGAGGGGCAGCACGGGUAGCAAUACCUGGUGGCGACCGGCAAACGGGUGCGGAACACGUACGCAACUUUCCCAGAACUGGUGAAUAGCCUUCCGAAAGGGAGAUUAAUACACCGUAAGAUAUAGUUUAGGCAUCUAGAUUAUAUUAUAGCUCCGGCGGUUUUGGAUGGGCGUGCGGCUGAUUAGGUAGUUGGUGUAGGUAACGGCUCACCAAGCCUACGAUCAGUAACUGGUGUGAGAGCACGACCAGUCACACGGGCACUGAGACACGGGCCCGACUCCUACGGGAGGCAGCAGUAAGGAAUAUUGGUCAAUGGACGCAAGUCUGAACCAGCCAUGCCGCGUGAAGGAUGAAUGCCCUCUGGGUUGUAAACUUCUUUUAUAGGGGACGAAAAAGGGUCUUUUUAGAUCAACUGACGGUACCCUAGGAAUAAGCACCGGCUAACUCCGUGCCAGCAGCCGCGGUAAUACGGAGGGUGCAAGCGUUAUCCGGAUUUACUGGGUUUAAAGGGUGCGUAGGUGGGUUGGUAAGUCAGCGGUGAAAUCUUCGAGCUUAACUCGGAAACUGCCAUUGAUACUAUCAGCCUUGAAUAUCCUGGAGGUGAGCGGAAUAUGUCAUGUAGCGGUGAAAUGCUUAGAUAUGACAUAGAACACCAAUUGCGAAGGCAGCUCACUACGGGAUUAUUGACACUGAGGCACGAAAGCGUGGGGAUCAAACAGGAUUAGAUACCCUGGUAGUCCACGCCCUAAACGAUGGAUACUCGACAUUUGCGAUAUACAGUAAGUGUCUGAGCGAA
This 842-nucleotide ribosomal RNA is filed under the name Chitinophaga sp. AKB-2008-RU12. Its description in RNAcentral is "bacterial SSU rRNA". It matches the Rfam family "Bacterial small subunit ribosomal RNA", at positions 16 to 855 of the family's 1533-position model. Lineage: Bacteria; Pseudomonadati; Bacteroidota; Chitinophagia; Chitinophagales; Chitinophagaceae. The record is from RNAcentral.